UGGGGAAUAUUGCACAAUGGGCGCAAGCCUGAUGCAGCCAUGCCGCGUGUGUGAAGAAGGCCUUCGGGUUGUAAAGCACUUUCAGCGAGGAGGAAGGUGGUGAGCUUAAUACGCUCAUCAAUUGACGUUACUCGCAGAAGAAGCACCGGCUAACUCCGUGCCAGCAGCCGCGGUAAUACGGAGGGUGCAAGCGUUAAUCGGAAUUACUGGGCGUAAAGCGCACGCAGGCGGUUUGUUAAGUCAGAUGUGAAAUCCCCGGGCUCAACCUGGGAACUGCAUUUGAAACUGGCAAGCUAGAGUCUCGUAGAGGGGGGUAGAAUUCCAGGUGUAGCGGUGAAAUGCGUAGAGAUCUGGAGGAAUACCGGUGGCGAAGGCGGCCCCCUGGACGAAGACUGACGCUCAGGUGCGAAAGCGUGGGGAGCAAACAGGAUUAGAUACCCCUGGUAGUCCACGCUGUAAAACGAUGUCGAUUUUGGAGGUUGUGCCCCUUGAGGCGUGGNUUCCGGAGCUAACGCGUUAAAUCGACCGCCUGGGGAGUACGGCC
RNAcentral lists this ribosomal RNA (544 nucleotides) under uncultured bacterium. Its description in RNAcentral is "partial 16S ribosomal RNA". It matches the Rfam family "Bacterial small subunit ribosomal RNA", at positions 355 to 887 of the family's 1533-position model. The record is from RNAcentral.